GGAGUAGGCGGUCCUUCAAGUCAGAUGUGAAAUCUCUCGGCUUAACUGAGAGCGGUCACUUGAUACUGUCGGACUAGAGUGCAUCAGAGGGAGACGGAAUUCCCGGUGUAGUGGUGGAAUGCGUAGAUAUCGGGAGGAACACCUGUGGCGAAAGCGGUCUCCUGGGGUGUGACUGACGCUGAGGUCCGAAGGCGUGGGGAGCAAACAGGAUUAGAUACCCUGGUAGUC
RNAcentral lists this ribosomal RNA (228 nucleotides) under uncultured bacterium. RNAcentral's name for it is "partial 16S ribosomal RNA". It matches the Rfam family "Bacterial small subunit ribosomal RNA", at positions 568 to 795 of the family's 1533-position model. The record is from RNAcentral.